This 253-nucleotide ribosomal RNA is filed under the name uncultured bacterium. RNAcentral's name for it is "partial 16S ribosomal RNA". It matches the Rfam family "Bacterial small subunit ribosomal RNA", at positions 524 to 776 of the family's 1533-position model. The record is from RNAcentral.
UACAGAGGGGGCAAGCGUUGUUCGGAAUUACUGGGCGUAAAGGGCGCGUAGGCGGCCUUCUAAGUCAUGCGUGAAAUCCCCGGGCUCAACCCGGGAACUGCGCCUGAUACUGGAAGGCUUGAAUCCGGGAGAGGGAUGCGGAAUUCCAGGUGUAGCGGUGAAAUGCGUAGAUAUCUGGAGGAACACCGGUGGCGAAGGCGGCAUCCUGGACCGGCAUUGACGCUGAGGCGCGAAAGCCAGGGGAGCAAACGGG